AUAGGUUCGAAAAAAGCGAUUGUGCUCGCGCGGGGUAAAGAGCGUCGCGAGCUCGGUCUGCGUGCUCCCCUGGCGUUGUUUCCUCAAGUGUCGACUGGCACCCCCCCACACCAAUACCUCGGCAUUUUAUAUGAAGGAGAGCAACUCUUCGAGACCUGUCCCGAUACAUGACCCGCGUGUAGCGAGCGGGUAUAUUGGCUCGCGGUCGGCUAACGUGGGAGUGUUACCUAGCUACGAGCCCGGAGGGAGCGCGAGGCGCCGGUGACUACCACGAAACCCCCUCUCCCACUCUGGACGGAGGUCGGGAUUUUGUUCGUUUCCAAACACCGCGGCCGCCUUUUCGGUUACCGUGCAACGUUGCGUGAGAGGUCAGAGGUCGGGCAGUUUACCAGUAAAGGACUUGCAGUGGCCUGACUGAAGAAUUAUCAAUGCCGGGAAGUCCUUGUCUUCAUCAGACAGCCUAGCGAAGGUGCAGGAGGUAGCAAGCUGGCUUUUGGAAAUGAACCAGGAUCUGCUGUCGGGGGGCAGCAGCAGCA
Molecule: non-coding RNA, 536 nt
Organism: Electrophorus electricus (electric eel)
Lineage: Eukaryota; Metazoa; Chordata; Actinopteri; Gymnotiformes; Gymnotidae
Source: RefSeq, a predicted model, not a curated record